Molecule: long non-coding RNA, 380 nt
Filed under: Nicotiana benthamiana
Lineage: Eukaryota; Viridiplantae; Streptophyta; Magnoliopsida; Solanales; Solanaceae
Description: long non-coding RNA (NBEN_LNC015963)
Source: RNAcentral
UGUCUCCUUCUGUGGAUGUUCCAAUGGAUCACCGUACACUUCGCUGGUGCUCGUUAGCAAAAACCGCGCACCGACUCUUUUAGCUAAUCCCAGCAUGUUCAAUGUCCCCACCACAUUAGUCUUGUAAAAUUACUCCGUCAAGGAUUAACAUAUUUUUAAUCCUACAUUAAUAAUACUACGACAUCUGAAAAAUUGAAGUAGAAACAAAACAACACAAAAUAAUUUGAAUAGUAAUGACGAAAAUAAAAAGGAUAUAAUAGUCUUGACGGGGUUAUGCUUGUAAUGAACAGGGGAAGCAGGGCAAGCAAGGUGAUAGAUCUGGUCAACUUCAAGCAAAAGUGGCUCAACGACAUCGUGUCGGAUGAGCUCAAACCUAGGAU